AUGUUUCACAAGCACAUUGCCCAAUCAGCUGCUUGCCCCCGAUGUCAAGACCCGCACGAGGAUGCUCUUCAUCUCAUCUCCAACUGCUCCUAUGCAACAUAGGUUUGGUCCUCCUUGGGUCUGCCCUCACCAACCUCCCUGGAUGAUCUGCAACAAUACCCCACGAUUCCUGGCCUCAACCCAAACAUCUGGCCUUCGGUCGCUCUGACGGUUGCAUGGAAGAUUUGGGACUCGAGGAACGCCUUUGUCUUCAGAAACGAGGAUCACACCCACAGAACCACAAUUCGUAAUAUUGUAGCAGAUUUCUCCCUCUGGGUCUUCCGGUUCAAAAAGAAAGAAGAUAAUACUUCUGCUAAGCUAUGGCUGAAUUUCCUCUCUGCUUCUAUUCAUUAA
RNAcentral lists this ribosomal RNA (393 nucleotides) under Triticum aestivum (bread wheat). RNAcentral's name for it is "partial small subunit ribosomal RNA". The record is from RNAcentral. Lineage: Eukaryota; Viridiplantae; Streptophyta; Magnoliopsida; Poales; Poaceae.